AUACGUAGGUGGCAAGCGUUAUCCGGAUUUACUGGGUGUAAAGGGCGUGUAGGCGGGACUGCAAGUCAGAUGUGAAACCCAUGGGCUCAACCCAUGGCCUGCAUUUGAAACUGUGGUUCUUGAGUGUCGGAGAGGUAAUCGGAAUUCCGUGUGUAGCGGUGAAAUGCGUAGAUAUACGGAGGAACACCAGUGGCGAAGGCGGAUUACUGGACGAUAACUGACGCUGAGGCGCGAAAGCGUGGGGAGC
RNAcentral lists this ribosomal RNA (247 nucleotides) under uncultured bacterium. Its description in RNAcentral is "partial 16S ribosomal RNA". It matches the Rfam family "Bacterial small subunit ribosomal RNA", at positions 523 to 769 of the family's 1533-position model. The record is from RNAcentral.